CAAAUUAUAUUUUUUUUCUUUCAUUAAUUCCUUGCCAGAUGAAAUAAUUUUGCUUUUAAACUCAGAGGAUGAUCUAAAAGAUAUAACCAACACAGGGUUUCGAGAUAAAGUUGAAGACUUCAAAAUUAAUAAUAUCAACAUUCCCUUUAUAGCAAUAGCUUUACAUGUAUUGUUUGUUUAUUAAAAGCCAGCGUCAAAUGAAUAUUCAGGUAAAAAAGAAGAUGUGGUGUUAUUGCCAAUGAGACAACUGUCAACAAGAGA
RNAcentral lists this long non-coding RNA (261 nucleotides) under Mytilus galloprovincialis (Mediterranean mussel). The record is from RNAcentral. Lineage: Eukaryota; Metazoa; Mollusca; Bivalvia; Mytilida; Mytilidae.